Molecule: ribosomal RNA, 238 nt
Filed under: uncultured bacterium
Lineage: Bacteria
Description: partial 16S ribosomal RNA
Rfam family: Bacterial small subunit ribosomal RNA
Source: RNAcentral
UUUCGGGAAUUAGUGGCGGACGGGUGAGUAACACGUGAGAACCUACCUUCAGAAUGGGGAUAACAGUUGGAAACGACUGCUAAUACCCGAUGUGCCGAGAGGUGAAAGAUUUAUCGUCUGAAGAAGGGCUCGCGGCUGAUUAGCUAGUUGGUAGGGUAAAGGCUUACCAAGGCAACGAUCAGUAACUGGUCUGAGAGGAUGAGCAGUCACACUGGAACUGAGAAACGGUCCAGACUCC